RNAcentral lists this ribosomal RNA (367 nucleotides) under unidentified archaeon. RNAcentral describes it as "bacterial SSU rRNA". It matches the Rfam family "Archaeal small subunit ribosomal RNA", at positions 90 to 457 of the family's 1478-position model. The record is from RNAcentral.
UCAGUAACACGUAGUCAACAUGCCCAAAGGACGUGGAUAACCUCGGGAAACUGAGGAUAAACCGCGAUAGGCCAAGGUUUCUGGGAAUGAGCCAUGGCCGAAAUCUAUACGGCCUUUGGAUUGGACUGCGGCCGAUCAGGCUGUUGGUGAGGUAAUGGCCCACCAAACCUGUAACCGGUACGGGCUUUGAGAGAAGGAGCCCGGAGAUGGGCACUGAGACAAGGGCCCAGGCCCUAUGGGGCGCAGAAGGCGCGAAACCUCUGCAAUAGGCGAAAGCUUGACAGGGUUACUCUGAGUGAUGCCCGCUAAGGGUAUCUUUUGGCACCUCUAAAAAUGGUGCAGAAUAAGGGGUGGGCAANGUCUGGUG